AUUGAACGCUGGCGGCAGGCCUAACACAUGCAAGUCGAACGGUAACAGGAAGAAGCUUGCUUCUUUGCUGACGAGUGGCGGACGGGUGAGUAAUGUCUGGGAAACUGCCUGAUGGAGGGGGAUAACUACUGGAAACGGUAGCUAAUACCGCAUAACGUCGCAAGACCAAAGAGGGGGACCUUCGGGCCUCUUGCCAUCGGAUGUGCCCAGAUGGGAUUAGCUAGUAGGUGGGGUAACGGCUCACCUAGGCGACGAUCCCUAGCUGGUCUGAGAGGAUGACCAGCCACACUGGAACUGAGAAACGGUCCAGACUCCUACGGGAGGCAGCAGUGGGGAAUAUUGCACAAUGGGCGCAAGCCUGAUGCAGCCAUGCCGCGUGUAUGAAGAAGGCCUUCGGGUUGUAAAGUACUUUCAGCGGGGAGGAAGGGAGUAAAGUUAAUACCUUUGCUCAUUGACGUUACCCGCAGAAGAAGCACCGGCUAACUCCGUG
RNAcentral lists this ribosomal RNA (490 nucleotides) under uncultured bacterium. RNAcentral describes it as "partial 16S ribosomal RNA". It matches the Rfam family "Bacterial small subunit ribosomal RNA", at positions 30 to 507 of the family's 1533-position model. The record is from RNAcentral.